CCAAUGGAAAAAAACGCGAACGUAAACAACAGCGGGACAAACAAACCAAGAAGAAAAAGAAAGAUAAGAAAGAGGAUAAACCAGAAGAACCAGAUAGAAAAGAGACAGAGGAGGGGGAAGAAAAGGAAGGAGGAUCAUAUCGUAUCGUCCCCGGUUUGACAGAAGGUGAACCACUGUGCAAAGUUUGAAAGGGUUUAUUUUAGAAUUAAAAUUACAAAUCUAAGGUCCCCAAAAUGUGUAGAUGGACGAUGGCUCAAUGACUGGAAAACCCUAGGAAUCCAAGAAACAAAAUACCUAAAGUGAAAAGAACAAAAGUCACAGGAUUGUCCAGGCCCCAAGGUCCUGGAAUCACACAGCAGCACCUUUCAGAAAAAAUCCAGCCUUCUGCCAAGUCCACCACAGGAAUUAAACCAGCUGAAGAAUGGUGGCACGGUGACGAUGCAGUGCAUAAACAGUCCGGCAGAGGUCGCUGCAGCAAACAAACAGCUUGUUUAUUAUCUCAGGCAGAAAGAAAAAAGAAAAGAGGAUCAAUGAACAGCGAACAGGUGGCACGCGGAAGUGCAACCUGUGCGCGUGUCCCGGUGUUUAAAUGCCAGCAGGCUGAGCGCGCG
RNAcentral lists this long non-coding RNA (611 nucleotides) under Salarias fasciatus (jewelled blenny). Its description in RNAcentral is "lncRNA (ENSSFAG00005018917.1)". The record is from RNAcentral. Lineage: Eukaryota; Metazoa; Chordata; Actinopteri; Blenniiformes; Blenniidae.